Molecule: ribosomal RNA, 393 nt
Filed under: uncultured bacterium
Lineage: Bacteria
Description: partial 16S ribosomal RNA
Rfam family: Bacterial small subunit ribosomal RNA
Source: RNAcentral
AACGAACGCUGGCGGCGUGGAUAAGACAUGCAAGUCGAACGGGAGUUUAUUUAUAGCAAUAUGAGUGAACUCUAGUGGCGAAAGGGUGCGUAACACGUGGCUACCUACCUCGAAGUUGGGGAUAGCUCGGCGAAAGCCGGAUUAAUACCGAAUGUGACCGUAAGGUCAAAGCUGGGGAUCGUAAGACCUGGCGCUUUGAGAUGGGGCUGCGGCCUAUCAGGUAGUUGGCGGGGUAACGGCCACCAAGGCUUCGACGGUAGCGGGUCUGAGAGGACGAUCCGCCCGACUGGGACUGAGACACGGCCCAGACUCCUACGGGAGGCAGCAGUUGGGAAUCUUGCACAAUGGGCGAAAGCCUGAUGCAGCGACGCCGCGUGGAGGACGAAGUCUCUC